AUCAAUUGGAGAGUAUAAGACUUGAAUCAUUGGUCAAAUAAAUGAUUCACCGACCAUGCAGUAAUGCGAAAUAUAAAGAACAAUGUCGUCUUUCCUAAAACGAUGAAGAAGGAAAGUAAAGAUGUUCCAAAUAUUUACAACCAUAGGAAGUAACCAAAAGAGGGUAGCCAGUGAAAAAGUUUUUAUACUUUUUCGGGUAACCAAAUUACUAAUACAAUAACAUGCUUUUGGGUAGGAAAGCUAGUCAUCAUAUUAAUAAAAGUAAAUGAUGAUAAUGAUAAACAUAAUCACAAAGAACAAACGAUAACUUGUAAAAUCAAGAUUUGUAUCGUUGUUUUAUCACGCUGUAUUUUGUUGAAUUUUAAUUCAUUACGGAAACGUGCUUGAUGACACUCAUAACCGCAUUUAACCUUUUGUUUAAGAUAUGGAUACUGACAACCUCUAAAGAUACUGGUUUAUUUGUUUUCCCAUUUUUCAAGCUAAAAUCCUGAAAAAUGUUUAGCUGUAUGAAUGGAAGUGAGGUUAUGAAUUUCAAUUGACAAAAUAGUCUCAAUAUAUAGUCAGGUUUGUUUACAUUUACUCAUUUUUAGUCUUUAUUCAUGGACCCAAUCGGAAAACGUUUGAUGUUUACCUCUCAGUUAACAACCUAUAAUACACCGUUACGACACCACAUCAAACUUUAUGCAUCGUUUAUGCGGUGUGAGAUCCAAUUAACUUCUUCCUUUGUUUAUUCAUCUUUUAAAUGCAAAGUUUAUGCUUCAAAAGGCGAUAUUCAAUUGGUUUGUUGUAUCAAUGCGAUAAAAUAAUUGUUUGUUUACAUUUUUGUAGACAAACAAAAUCAGAUGAGUACGGCUGCAUAAUAUCUGAGUAGACUUAU
Schizosaccharomyces pombe (fission yeast) is the source of this 877-nucleotide non-coding RNA. NCBI's taxonomy places the organism in Eukaryota, Fungi, Ascomycota, Schizosaccharomycetes, Schizosaccharomycetales, Schizosaccharomycetaceae. The record is from the annotation of a GenBank genome assembly.